RNAcentral lists this long non-coding RNA (272 nucleotides) under Bos grunniens (domestic yak). RNAcentral's name for it is "lncRNA (ENSBGRG00000004991.1)". The record is from RNAcentral. Lineage: Eukaryota; Metazoa; Chordata; Mammalia; Artiodactyla; Bovidae.
AUGCCAAAUGGGAUUUUGAUCUUCAAACAGCAGAUUUCACUGUCCUAUAUUCAGCCCUUGAUGCCCUCUCCACUGACUUCAUUGCUUCAUGCUCAGCCCAGCAGGUGCCUGGCUCUCUGUUUUCUCCCUGAGAUUGGGUGCAACACUCCAAGAGCCAUUUCCAGAUCAAGAGCUCUUCUUCUCCUUCUGUGUGGCCAUUCAAUCCAGUGUGGAUACCCUAGCGCUGUCAAAGGGAGAAUGGGGAUCUGAGUCUAAGCAAAAGUGAGAAGGCA